UGGUAAUAGAUAUUCAAUUCUUUUGAAUAUGUGUUAUGGGAUGAUAACUUAUGUGGCGGAUUCUAAUGAGCACUUCAAAGAUGCAAAGAAGAAGAUACAGGAGAUGACUGAAUGUUAUAGCGAGCACACACGCAACUUAUCUUUGACCCAAACAGGUUCGAAUGUUGGUUUGAUGACAGAGAACAAAACUACAGUUGGUAGUUCACAACAAGUGAAGAAUCCACUUGUUAUAAGAGGGAAAUGAAGACCCCCAUCUCUGAGGUGAGCAUCCAGGAUGGAGACAGACAUGCGAAAGGUUAAAGCCAAAUAAAAGAAAGCACAAGUCAAAGGGAAACGCAAACAGCGAGAAGGAGAUACACCAGAAGGAGAUAUACCAGUAGUGGGCACGUGCAGGAAUUUAUUUGGACCAUCAGAAGUGGAUAUCACCAAUCCUGGACAAGUGCAGGUAUUAGAAAUAGUCUCAGAUUUUAUAAACCAAACAAUGAUUUCGUCCCAAUCAUUAUUGGUCAAUAUUUGUAAUGUGAUCAA
Juglans microcarpa x Juglans regia is the source of this 528-nucleotide long non-coding RNA. RefSeq lists it as uncharacterized. The transcript is spliced from 3 exons. The record is from RefSeq and is a predicted model, not a curated record. Lineage: Eukaryota; Viridiplantae; Streptophyta; Magnoliopsida; Fagales; Juglandaceae.